Molecule: ribosomal RNA, 301 nt
Filed under: uncultured bacterium
Lineage: Bacteria
Description: partial 16S ribosomal RNA
Rfam family: Bacterial small subunit ribosomal RNA
Source: RNAcentral
CAGUAGCCGCGGUAAUACGUAGGGUGCGAGCGUUAAUCGGAAUUACUGGGCGUAAAGCGUGCGCAGGCGGUUGUGUAAGACAGGUGUGAAAUCCCCGGGCUUAACCUGGGAACUGCGCUUGUGACUGCACAGCUAGAGUAUGGCAGAGGGGGGUGGAAUUCCACGCGUAGCAGUGAAAUGCGUAGAGAUGUGGAGGAACACCGAUGGCGAAGGCAGCCCCCUGGGCCAAUACUGACGCUCAUGCACGAAAGCGUGGGGAGCAAACAGGAUUAGAUACCCGCGUAGUCCCUGUCUCUUAUAC